RNAcentral lists this small nuclear RNA (23 nucleotides) under Arabidopsis thaliana (thale cress). Its description in RNAcentral is "snRNA_13645". Lineage: Eukaryota; Viridiplantae; Streptophyta; Magnoliopsida; Brassicales; Brassicaceae. The record is from RNAcentral.
CCACCAUCACGUUUCUAUGAAAC